RNAcentral lists this ribosomal RNA (433 nucleotides) under uncultured bacterium. RNAcentral's name for it is "partial 16S ribosomal RNA". It matches the Rfam family "Bacterial small subunit ribosomal RNA", at positions 29 to 507 of the family's 1533-position model. The record is from RNAcentral.
AGCGAACGCUGGCGGCAGGCUUAACACAUGCAAGUCGAGCGGGCCUUUCGGGGUCAGCGGCGGACGGGUGAGUAACGCGUGGGAACGUGCCCUCUGGUUCGGAAUAACUCAGGGAAACUUGAGCUAAUACCGGAUACGCCCUUUUGGGGAAAGGCUUGCUGCCGGAGGAUCGGCCCGCGUCUGAUUAGCUAGUUGGUGAGGUAACGGCUCACCAAGGCGACGAUCAGUAGCUGGUCUGAGAGGAUGAUCAGCCACACUGGGACUGAGACACGGCCCAGACUCCUACGGGAGGCAGCAGUGGGGAAUAUUGGACAAUGGGCGCAAGCCUGAUCCAGCCAUGCCGCGUGAGUGAUGAAGGCCUUAGGGUUGUAAAGCUCUUUUAUCCGGGACGAUACUGACGGUACCGGAGGAAUAAGCCCCGGCUAACUUCGUG